UACGAAGGGUGCUAGCGUUGUUUGGAAUUACUGGGCGUAAAGCGCGCGUAGGCGGUCCUGCAAGUCGGGGGUGAAAGCCCGAGGCUCAACCUCGGAACUGCCUUCGAUACUGCGGGUCUCGAGUCCGGGAGAGGUGAGUGGAAUUCCUAGUGUAGAGGUGAAAUUCGUAGAUAUUAGGAAGAACACCAGUGGCGAAGGCGGCUCACUGGCCCGGUACUGACGCUGAGGCGCGAAAGCGUGGGGAGCAAACAGG
RNAcentral lists this ribosomal RNA (253 nucleotides) under uncultured bacterium. RNAcentral's name for it is "partial 16S ribosomal RNA". It matches the Rfam family "Bacterial small subunit ribosomal RNA", at positions 524 to 776 of the family's 1533-position model. The record is from RNAcentral.